GUGAGGUAACGGCUCACCAAGGCGAUGACGGGUAGCAGGCCUGAGAGGGUGGUCUGUCACACUGGGACUGAGACACUGCCCAGACUCCUACGGGAGGCUGCAGUCGAGAAUCUUCCGCAAUGGACGAAAGUCUGACGGAGCGACGCCGCGUGGAGGACGAAGGCAUUAGUGUUGUAAACUCCUGUCACGGAUUAUGAAUGCGUAUGCGUGAACAGCGUAUGCGUUGACGUAAGUCCGAGAGGAAGCACCGGCUGACUCUGUGCCAGCAGCCGCGGUAAUACAGAGGGUGCAAACGUUGUUCGGAAUUACUGGGCAUAAAGCGCACGUAGGCGGCACGCUAAGUGUGGAGUGAAAUCCCACGGCUUACCCGUGGAACUGCUUCGCAUACUGGCGAGCUCGAGGACGGUAGGGGAGAGCGGAACUCUUGGUGGAGCGGUGAAAUGCGUAGAUAUCAAGAGGAACACCGAUGGCGAAGGCAGCUCUCUGGUCCGUUUCUGACGCUGAGGUGCGAAAGCUAGGGUAGCGAACGGGAUUAGAUACCCCGGUAGUCCUAGCCGUAAACGAUGGGCACUAGCUAGAGGUCCUUCCUGUGGGGUCUCUGGCGAAGCAAAUGUACUAAGUG
This 622-nucleotide ribosomal RNA is filed under the name uncultured Actinobacteridae bacterium. RNAcentral's name for it is "bacterial SSU rRNA". It matches the Rfam family "Bacterial small subunit ribosomal RNA", at positions 252 to 866 of the family's 1533-position model. Lineage: Bacteria; Bacillati; Actinomycetota; Actinomycetes. The record is from RNAcentral.